This 253-nucleotide ribosomal RNA is filed under the name uncultured bacterium. Its description in RNAcentral is "partial 16S ribosomal RNA". It matches the Rfam family "Bacterial small subunit ribosomal RNA", at positions 524 to 776 of the family's 1533-position model. The record is from RNAcentral.
UACGUAGGCAGCAAGCGUUGUUCGGAGUUACUGGGCGUAAAGAGUACGUAGGCGGUUUGCUAAGUCUGGUGUGAAAUCUCCUGGCUUAACUGGGAGGGUGCGCUAGAUACUGGCAGGCUUGAGUAUGGGAGAGGAGAGUGGAAUUCCUGGUGUAGCGGUGAAAUGCGUAGAUAUCAGGAGGAACACCGGUGGCGAAGGCGGGUCUCUGGGCCGUAACUGACGCUGAGGAGCGAAAGCAUGGGUAGCGAACAGG